CCCUUAGAUGUUCUGGGCCGCACGCGCGCUACACUGAUGCAUUCAACGAGCCUAUCCUUGACCGACAGGUCCGGGUAAUCUUUGAAUCUGCAUCGUGACGGGGAUAGAUUAUUGCAAUUAUUAAUCUUCAACGAGGAAUGCCUAGUAGGCGCAAGUCAUCAGCUUGCGUCGAUUACGUCCCUGCCCUUUGUACACACCGCCCGUCGCUCCUACCGAUUGGGUGUGCUGGUGAAAUGUUCGGAUCGGCCGUUUGUCGCGGUUUCCGCGUCAUGUGGCUGAGAAGUUCAUUAAACCCUCCCACCUAUAGGAAGGAGAAGUCGUAACA
Molecule: ribosomal RNA, 325 nt
Filed under: uncultured eukaryote
Lineage: Eukaryota
Description: partial 18S ribosomal RNA
Rfam family: Eukaryotic small subunit ribosomal RNA
Source: RNAcentral